GCAGUCGGACGGGAUCCAGUCGGAGAGCUUGCUCGAAGACGGUGAGAGUGGCGCACGGGUGCGUAACGCGUGAGCAACCUACCUCUAUCAGGGGGAUAGCCUCUCGAAAGAGAGAUUAACACCGCAUAACAUCUGUGACCGGCAUCGGUUGGAUAUUAAAUAUUUAUAGGAUAGAGAUGGGCUCGCGUGACAUUAGCUAGUUGGUAGGGUAACGGCUUACCAAGGCGACGAUGUCUAGGGGCUCUGAGAGGAGAAUCCCCCACACUGGUACUGAGACACGGACCAGACUCCUACGGGAGGCAGCAGUAAGGAAUAUUGGUCAAUGGGCGGAAGCCUGAACCAGCCAUGCCGCGUGCAGGAUGACUGCCCUAUGGGUUGUAAACUGCUUUUGUCCAGGAAUAAACCUAGAUACGUGUAUCUAGCUGAAUGUACUGGAAGAAUAAGGAUCGGCUAACUCCGUGCCAGCAGCCGCGGUAAUACGGAGGAUCCGAGCGUUAUCCGGAUUUAUUGGGUUUAAAGGGUGCGUAGGCGGCCUAUUAAGUCAGGGGUGAAAUACGGUGGCUCAACCAUCGCAGUGCCUUUGAUACUGAUGGGCUUGAAUCCAUUUGAAGUGGGCGGAAUAAGACAAGUAGCGGUGAAAUGCAUAGAUAUGUCUUAGAACUCCGAUUGCGAAGGCAGCUCACUAAGCUGGUAUUGACGCUGAUGCACGAAAGCGUGGGGAUCGAACAGGAUUAGAUACCCUGGUAGUCCACGCCCUAAACGAUGAUAACUCGAUGUUGGCGAUAGACAGCCAGCGUCCAAGCGAAAGCGUUAAGUUAUCCACCUGGGGAGUACGCCCGCAAGGGUGAAACUCAAAGGAAUUGACGGGGGCCCGCACAAGCGGAGGAGCAUGUGGUUUAAUUCGAUGAUACGCGAGGAACCUUACCCGGGCUUGAAAGUUAGUGAAGAGUGCAGAGACGCACUCGUCCUUCGGGACACGAAACUAGGUGCUGCAUGGCUGUCGUCAGCUCGUGCCGUGAGGUGUUGGGUUAAGUCCCGCAACGAGCGCAACCCCUAUGUUUAGUUGCCAGCAUGUAAUGGUGGGGACUCUAAACAGACUGCCUGUGCAAACAGAGAGGAAGGUGGGGACGACGUCAAGUCAUCAUGGCCCUUACGUCCGGGGCUACACACGUGCUACAAUGGAUGGUACAGCGGGCAGCUACAUAGCAAUAUGAUGCUAAUCUCUAAAAGCCAUUCACAGUUCGGAUUGGGGUCUGCAACUCGACCCCAUGAAGUUGGAUUCGCUAGUAAUCGCGUAUCAGCAAUGACGCGGUGAAUACGUUCCCGGGCCUUGUACACACCGCCCGUCAAGCCAUGAAAGUUGGGGGUACCUAAAGCA
Molecule: ribosomal RNA, 1378 nt
Filed under: Sphingobacterium siyangense
Lineage: Bacteria; Pseudomonadati; Bacteroidota; Sphingobacteriia; Sphingobacteriales; Sphingobacteriaceae
Description: bacterial SSU rRNA
Rfam family: Bacterial small subunit ribosomal RNA
Source: RNAcentral